RNAcentral lists this ribosomal RNA (201 nucleotides) under Clostridioides difficile. RNAcentral's name for it is "partial 23S ribosomal RNA". It matches the Rfam family "Bacterial large subunit ribosomal RNA", at positions 419 to 622 of the family's 2925-position model. Lineage: Bacteria; Bacillati; Bacillota; Clostridia; Peptostreptococcales; Peptostreptococcaceae. The record is from RNAcentral.
GGGACACGUGAAACCCUGUGGGAAGCAGGAGGGACCACCCUCCAAGGCUAAAUACUACCUAGUGACCGAUAGCGUAUAGUACCGUGAGGGAAAGGUGAAAAGAACCCCGGGAGGGGAGGGAAAUAGAACCUGAAACCCUGCACUUACAAGCUGUGGAAGCACAUUUCUUGUGUGACCGCGUACUUUUUGUAGAACGGGCCA